Molecule: ribosomal RNA, 1295 nt
Filed under: Cryptotermes brevis
Lineage: Eukaryota; Metazoa; Arthropoda; Insecta; Blattodea; Kalotermitidae
Description: 16S ribosomal RNA
Rfam family: Archaeal large subunit ribosomal RNA (bases 853-1223)
Source: RNAcentral
UUUAUUGAUUAAUUUAUUUUUGUUGUUGUGGUUAUUGUUGUUUAAUGAAGUAUUAUUAUGUUGUUGUAUUUAUUUUGAUUUAAUUCUUUAUAUUAUAGUUUAUUUGUACUGUGAAGGGGAAUAUUUUAUUUUUGUAAGUUGAUUUUAUUUGUUGUACCUUGUGUAUCAGGGUUUACUAAUUUUUAUUAUUUAUUUUUUAUUUCCCGGUUUUGGAGGAGUUAUAUAUUUAUUCUAGUUGCUGUUUCAUUAGCAUUGGAAAUAUUUAUUUGGUGGUGAGAUGUCAAUCGUUUCUGAGGAUAUCUGGUUUCUCGAGAAAUGAAUUUAAUUCAUGCCUUUUGUUUAAUUUUCAUUUUUGUUAUGUUUGAUUUUACAAAUGGCUAAGGUGUUGGGGGAUAAACUCUGAUUCUUUUUUAUAAUUUUUAUUAUGAGUACUUUUGUGGGCUUUAUGUUGGCUAACUAUAUGAGUAUUUAAAAAUUUUAUUUCGGUUUAUUUAUGAUUUUUUUGGUUUUAAAGUUUUAUUGGGAUGUUUAAUUUAAUUUUUUAUUUAUUGUAUUUUUGGUUGAAUUAGUAUAUUUUUAUUUAUGGUGUUUUUUGGGUGAUAUGUUUUUUAGAGGAACUAGGCAAGUUUUAUGUUCGCCUGUUUAACAAAAACAUCUCUUCUUGUAUUUUGAUUUGAAGUACGGCCUGCCCACUGAUGUUAUUGAAGGGCCGCGGUAUUUUGACCGUGCAAAGGUAGCAUAAUCAUUAGUUUUUUAAUUGUGAACUGGUAUGAAUGGUUUGACGAGGCAUAAUCUGUCUUUAAUUUGGAUUAUUAUUGAAUUUAUUUUUUGGGUAAAAAUGCUCAAAUUUUAUUAUGGGACGAGAAGACCCUAUAGAGUUUUAUAUAGUACACUUAUGAAUAUUUGUUUUGUUGUGUUGGAGUGUAACUAAUAUUUUGUUGGGGUGAUGGGAAGAUAUAUUUAACUCUUCUUUUUUCUUUUCACUUAUUUGUGUUUUUAUGAUCCUUUAUUAUUGAUUAUAAGAUCAAAUUACCUUAGGGAUAACAGCGUAAUCUUUUUUGAGAGUUCUUAUUGACAAAAGGGUUUGCGACCUCGAUGUUGGAUUAGGAUGAAUUUUUGGUGUAGAGGCUUUAAAAUUGUUUUGUAUUAGGUCUGUUCGACCUUUAAAAUCUUACAUGAUCUGAGUUCAAACCGGCGUGAGCCAGGUUGGUUUCUAUCUAUAAUUUUCUUUUAUUUCUUAGUACGAGAGGACCAGAUAUUUGGAAUAAUUUUCUUUUUUUGAUUGUCAUUAAUUU